AAAAAUCAGAAAUUAUUCAACCUUCUUUUUUCAAUCCUGUUACCAUUUUCAACAACUCUGUUGAAUUUGUUUGUUCUCCUUCAUGCUUUGAACGAUUUGAUUUUUUUUAUUAUACGAAAAAAAUUAUGGCAACAGAGAUUUUGCGGCCACAGGAUAUAUUAACUCAAUGGUUCAGAGUUUCACCGUCGGUGUGUUAUCGUCGGAGAAAUA
RNAcentral lists this unclassified non-coding RNA (210 nucleotides) under Hevea brasiliensis (rubber tree). The record is from RNAcentral. Lineage: Eukaryota; Viridiplantae; Streptophyta; Magnoliopsida; Malpighiales; Euphorbiaceae.